Molecule: ribosomal RNA, 727 nt
Filed under: uncultured bacterium
Lineage: Bacteria
Description: bacterial SSU rRNA
Rfam family: Bacterial small subunit ribosomal RNA
Source: RNAcentral
GGGAUAACACUUGGAAACAGGUGCUAAUACCGUAUAACACUAUUUUCCGCAUGGAAGAAAGUUGAAAGGCGCUUUUGCGUCACUGAUGGAUGGACCCGCGGUGCAUUAGCUAGUUGGUGAGGUAACGGCUCACCAAGGCCACGAUGCAUAGCCGACCUGAGAGGGUGAUCGGCCACACUGGGACUGAGACACGGCCCAGACUCCUACGGGAGGCAGCAGUAGGGAAUCUUCGGCAAUGGACGAAAGUCUGACCGAGCAACGCCGCGUGAGUGAAGAAGGUUUUCGGAUCGUAAAACUCUGUUGUUAGAGAAGAACAAGGAUGAGAGUAAAAUGUUCAUCCCUUGACGGUAUCUAACCAGAAAGCCACGGCUAACUACGUGCCAGCAGCCGCGGUAAUACGUAGGUGGCAAGCGUUGUCCGGAUUUAUUGGGCGUAAAGCGAGCGCAGGCGGUUUCUUAAGUCUGAUGUGAAAGCCCCCGGCUCAACCGGGGAGGGUCAUUGGAAACUGGGAGACUUGAGUGCAGAAGAGGAGAGUGGAAUUCCAUGUGUAGCGGUGAAAUGCGUAGAUAUAUGGAGGAACGCCAGUGGCGAAGGCGGCUCUCUGGUCUGUAACUGACGCUGAGGCUCGAAAGCGUGGGGAGCGAACAGGAUUAGAUACCCUGGUAGUCCACGCCGUAAACGAUGCGUAAUAGGUGUUGGAGGGUUUCCGCCCUUCAGUGCUGCAGCA